This 253-nucleotide ribosomal RNA is filed under the name uncultured bacterium. RNAcentral's name for it is "partial 16S ribosomal RNA". It matches the Rfam family "Bacterial small subunit ribosomal RNA", at positions 524 to 776 of the family's 1533-position model. The record is from RNAcentral.
GACGAACCGUGCGAACGUUAUUCGGAUUCACUGGGCUUAAAGGGCGCGUAGGCGGCGAUUCAAGUCUGGGGUGAAAGCCUUCGGCUCAACCGGAGAAGUGCCUUGGAUACUGGAUCGCUCGAGGGGGAUAGGGGCAUGCGGAACUUCCGGUGGAGCGGUGAAAUGCGUAGAUAUCGGAAGGAACGCCGGUGGCGAAAGCGAUCGACUGGACCUCUUCUGACGCUGAGGCGCGAAAGCCAGGGGAGCAAACGGG